Molecule: ribosomal RNA, 228 nt
Filed under: Enterobacter sp. CU
Lineage: Bacteria; Pseudomonadati; Pseudomonadota; Gammaproteobacteria; Enterobacterales; Enterobacteriaceae
Description: partial 16S ribosomal RNA
Rfam family: Bacterial small subunit ribosomal RNA
Source: RNAcentral
GAGGCUGCGUGGCAAGCGACCUCAUAAAGUGCGUGGAGUCGGGAUUGGGGUGCAACUGACUCCAUGAAGUCGGAAUCGCUAGUAAUCGUGGAUCAGAAUGCCACGGUGAAUACGUUCCCGGGCCUUGUACACACCGCCCGUCACACCAUGGGAGUGGGUUGCAAGAAGAAGUAGGUAGCUUAACCUUCGGGAGGGGGCUUACCACUUUGUGAUUCAUGAACUGGGGGG